GAUGAAGCGUAGCGAAAUGCGAUAAGUAAUGUGAAUUGCAGAAUUCAGUGAAUCAUCGAAUCUUUGAACGCACAUUGCGCCCCCUGGUAUUCCGGGGGGCAUGCCUGUCCGAGCGUCAUUACAACCCUCAAGCUCAGCUUGGUGUUGGGCCCCGCCGCCCCGGCGGGCCCUAAAGUCAGUGGCGGUGCCGUCCGGCUCCGAGCGUAGUAAUUCUUCUCGCUCUGGAGGUCCGGUCGUGUGCUCGCCAGCAACCCCCAAUUUUUUUCAGGUUGACCUCGGAUCAGGUAGGGAUACCCGCUGAACUUAAGCAUAUCAAUAAGCGGAGGA
This 327-nucleotide unclassified non-coding RNA is filed under the name soil metagenome. RNAcentral describes it as "partial contains 5.8S ribosomal RNA, internal transcribed spacer 2, and large subunit ribosomal RNA". The stretch from base 1 to 118 matches the Rfam family "5.8S ribosomal RNA", at positions 35 to 154 of the family's 154-position model. The record is from RNAcentral.